ACUAAAGCUCUAAAUACAUUUUCGUUGGCUUUGGGAAGGCGCUUCCUCGUAUUAUUUAUAUUUCAGUAUAUUAUGCAAUAUAUUUCCAACUUAUACGACCACAUGAGGAUCAUGCGCAUGCGACAAGUUUGCUCCACAUUUUGACUCUGCGCCGCCGUGCUUCACCCUCGCCCCUCGCCUCGUCACGAAGGAGUCAUCGCCAUUAGCAUCAUCGGAAUGUCGUUGGAACCGUUGCAAGACGUUUGAACGGUCUCCGCGCUCGCUCGUCCAUUUGUGAACAAAGGAGGCCGUGAUUUUGCGUCGUAUGGGCGGCUGCAGUGUUGCGUCCCGUCAGGCCAUGAAAGAAGGAAGGAGGAUAUGAUUUUGCGUCGUAAUGGGUAAGCUGUGUGAUCGG
Molecule: long non-coding RNA, 394 nt
Organism: Ornithodoros turicata
Lineage: Eukaryota; Metazoa; Arthropoda; Arachnida; Ixodida; Argasidae
Exons: 3
Source: RefSeq, a predicted model, not a curated record